UGGUCAAUCUAGUGGCGAACGGGUGAGUAACACGUGGGUAACCUGCCCAUCAGAGGGGGAUAACAUCCGGAAACGGAUGCUAAAACCGCAUAGGUCUUCGAGCCGCAUGGCUUGAAGAGGAAAAGAGGCGCAAGCUUCUGCUGAUGGAUGGACCCGCGGUGCAUUAGCUAGUUGGUGAGGUAACGGCUCACCAAGGCCGUGAUGCAUAGCCGACCUGAGAGGGUGAUCGGCCACAUUGGGACUGAGGCACGGCCCAAACUCCUACGGGAGGCAGCAGUAGGGAAUCUUCCGCAAUGGACGCAAGUCUGACGGAGCAACGCCGCGUGAGUGAAGAAGGUUUUCGGAUCGUAAAACUCUGUUGUUAGAGAAGAACAAGUGCUAGAGUAACUGUUAGCGCCUUGACGGUAUCUAACCAGAAAGCCACGGCUAACUACGUGCCAGCAGCCGCGGUAAUACGUAGGUGGCAAGCGUUGUCCGGAUUUAUUGGGCGUAAAGCGAGCGCAGGCGGUUCCUUAAGUCUGAUGUGAAAGCCCCCGGCUCAACCGGGGAGGGUCAUUGGAAACUGGGGAACUUGAGUGCAGAAGAGGAGAGCGGAAUUCCAUGUGUAGCGGUGAAAUGCGUAGAUAUAUGGAGGAACAC
This 639-nucleotide ribosomal RNA is filed under the name uncultured Bacilli bacterium. Its description in RNAcentral is "bacterial SSU rRNA". It matches the Rfam family "Bacterial small subunit ribosomal RNA", at positions 84 to 709 of the family's 1533-position model. Lineage: Bacteria; Bacillati; Bacillota; Bacilli. The record is from RNAcentral.